This 492-nucleotide ribosomal RNA is filed under the name uncultured bacterium. RNAcentral's name for it is "bacterial SSU rRNA". It matches the Rfam family "Bacterial small subunit ribosomal RNA", at positions 29 to 509 of the family's 1533-position model. The record is from RNAcentral.
AGUGAACGCUGGCGGCAGGCCUAAUACAUGCAAGUCGAACGGCAGCACAGCAGAGCUUGCUCUGUGGGUGGCGAGUGGCGGACGGGUGAGGAAUACAUGGGAAUCUGCCCAGUCGUGGGGGAUAACGUAUGGAAACGUACGCUAAUACCGCAUGCGCCCUAAGGGGGAAAGCCGGGGACCGCAAGGCCUGGCGCGAUUGGAUGAGCCCAUGUUCGAUUAGCUAGUUGGCGGGGUAAAGGCCCACCAAGGCGACGAUCGAUAGCUGGUCUGAGAGGAUGAUCAGCCACACUGGAACUGAGACACGGUCCAGACUCCUACGGGAGGCAGCAGUAGGGAAUAUUGGACAAUGGGGGCAACCCUGAUCCAGCCAUGCCGCGUGAGUGAAGAAGGCCCUCGGGUUGUAAAGCUCUUUUGUCCGGAAAGAAAAGCAAUCGGUUAAUACCCGGUUGUCCUGACGGUACCGGAAGAAUAAGCACCGGCUAACUACGUGCC